Molecule: ribosomal RNA, 468 nt
Filed under: uncultured bacterium
Lineage: Bacteria
Description: partial 16S ribosomal RNA
Rfam family: Bacterial small subunit ribosomal RNA
Source: RNAcentral
GACGAACGCUGGCGGCGUGCUUAACACAUGCAAGUCGAACGGAAAGGCCCUGCUUUUGUGGGGUGCUCGAGUGGCGAACGGGUGAGUAACACGUGAGUAACCUGCCCUUGACUUUGGGAUAACUUCAGGAAACUGGGGCUAAUACCGGAUAGGAGCUCCUGCUGCAUAGUGGGGGUUGGAAAGUUUCGGCGGUUGGGGCUGGACUCGCGGCUUAUCAGCUUGUUGGUGGGGUAGUGGCUUACCAAGGCUUUGACGGGUAGCCGGCCUGGGAGGGUGGCCGGCCACAUUGGGACUGAGAUACGGCCCAGACUCCUACGGGAGGCAGCAGUGGGGAAUAUUGCACAAUGGGCGGAAGCCUGAUGCAGCAACGCCGCGUGCGGGAUGACGGCCUUCGGGUUGUAAACCGCUUUCGCCUGUGACGAAGCGUGAGUGACGGUAAUGGGUAAAGAAGCACCGGCUAACUACGUG